GAGCUAAUGUAUAAAUGUAUUUGGUUACACAGUACAAGUUUGACAAGGGUUAAGUGUUCAAUCCGAUUAUUAUUUUCAUGAUGAUAAAUAUUAAUGUUAUUAUAAACACUUUUAAGUAACAUUCAAUUAGAUAAAAUUCAAAGUGAUUUGAAACACAUAAAUUUCUUUGCCCCCAUUUCUCUUAAUCCUCCAGGGCUUUGCUAGGCUCUACCCUCAGGCAAAAAUAUCUUUUGCUUUGAAGUUCAUUUUAUUUCAUUAUACCUCCCUGGAUUUAUUAGUGUGGCCUAUUAAUGUUUAGGUUAUUUAUUUUCAUUUAUUAAGGCCUUUCUAUAAGAUAUUCUCUUUCUUCUUUAACUUCUUUCCAGAAUUCCUAAUGUCUGCAGAAUGGACAAAGGCUAACCCAUCCUCAAUCCUGGAUUCCUCUUUAAAACAGUGCAGCAAAAGAGAAGGGGUUGAAUUCCCUCUUGAAAAAUACUUCUAUCAGAUUCUACUUCUAACCUUUCACUCUGCAAGUGUUUCAAGCCAGUCCAAGAAACAGAUGGGACAGAUGCCAGAAUGAUGUGUGCCAUUCCUUACCCAUUAUUUCCACUAGGCUGAAUAUUUAACAUCUCAAAAUGCCAAGUCUAAUAUAUUCCCUAAUAUUCCCCAUUGCAAACAUGGUCAACCUAUAGUCCUUACAAUGAACUAUAAGUAAAUGACUGUUCCAUCCUUAUAGCUAAGACAAUGAACUUUGAACUUAUCUUUGCCUUUCCCCCUUUCUCUUACUACAUGCAAUUGUUUCAUUAGCAGUUCUAUUGGUUAUAUGUUCUAUCAGGUAUACAGCUAAUUCUUGACAAACCAUUGUGACCAAUGGUCUCUUACACUUUAACUUUAUUUAUGAUAUCUGAUACCUAUUUUCCUAAUAGUCUAUUUUAAUUUCUUUCUUUUUUGUUAUUUAAGUUAUCACUAUUCUAUACUAAAC
This 961-nucleotide long non-coding RNA is filed under the name Vulpes vulpes (red fox). RNAcentral describes it as "lncRNA (ENSVVUG00000006303.1)". Lineage: Eukaryota; Metazoa; Chordata; Mammalia; Carnivora; Canidae. The record is from RNAcentral.